GACGAACGCUGGCGGCGUGCUUAACACAUGCAAGUCGAACGGAAAGGCCCUGCUUUUGUGGGGUGCUCGAGUGGCGAACGGGUGAGUAACACGUGAGUAACCUGCCCUUGACUUUGGGAUAACUUCAGGAAACUGGGGCUAAUACCGGAUAGGAGCUCCUGCUGCAUGGUGGGGGUUGGAAAGUUUCGGCGGUUGGGGAUGGACUCGCGGCUUAUCAGCUUGUUGGUGGGGUAGUGGCUUACCAAGGCUUUGACGGGUAGCCGGCCUGAGAGGGUGACCGGCCACAUUGGGACUGAGAUACGGCCCAGACUCCUACGGGAGGCAGCAGUGGGGAAUAUUGCGCAAUGGGCGGAAGCCUGAUGCAGCAACGCCGCGUGCGGGAUGACGGCCUUCGGGUUGUAAACCGCUUUCGCCUGCGACGAAGCGUGAGUGACGGUAAUGGGUAAAGAAGCACCGGCUAACUACGUG
This 468-nucleotide ribosomal RNA is filed under the name uncultured bacterium. RNAcentral's name for it is "partial 16S ribosomal RNA". It matches the Rfam family "Bacterial small subunit ribosomal RNA", at positions 28 to 507 of the family's 1533-position model. The record is from RNAcentral.